GAUGAACGCUGGCGGCGUGCCUAAUACAUGCAAGUCGAGCGAACGGACGAGAAGCUUGCUUCUCUGAUGUUAGCGGCGGACGGGUGAGUAACACGUGGAUAACCUACCUAUAAGACUGGGAUAACUUCGGGAAACCGGAGCUAAUACCGUAUAAUAUUUUGAACCGCAUGGUUCAAAAGUGAAAGACGGUCUUGCUGUCACUUAUAGAUGGAUCCGGGCUGCAUUAGCUAGUUGGUAAGGUAACGGCUUACCAAGGCAACGAUGCAUAGCCGACCUGAGAGGGUGGUCGGCCACACUGGAACUGAGACACGGUCCAGACUCCUGCGGGAGGCAGCAGUAGGGAAUCUUCCGCAAUGGGCGAAAGCCUGACGGAGCGACGCCGCGUGAGUGAUGAAGGUCUUCGGAUCGUAAAACUCUGUUAUUAGGGAAGAACAUAUGUGUAAGUAAUUGUGCACAUCUUGACGGUACCUAAUCAGAAAGCCACGGCUAACUACGUG
This 497-nucleotide ribosomal RNA is filed under the name uncultured bacterium. RNAcentral describes it as "partial 16S ribosomal RNA". It matches the Rfam family "Bacterial small subunit ribosomal RNA", at positions 28 to 507 of the family's 1533-position model. The record is from RNAcentral.